AAGACAGUGAUGUGGAGCAAAUCCCUAAAAACGGUCUCAGUUCGGAUUGUAGGCUGCAACUCGCCUACAUGAAGUCGGAAUUGCUAGUAAUCGCGGAUCAGCAUGCCGCGGUGAAUACGUUCCCGGGCCUUGUACACACCGCCCGUCACACCAUGGAAGUUGGUAACACCCGAAGCCUGUAGCCUAACCGCAAGGAGGGCGCAGUCGAAGGUGGGAUUGAUGACUGGGGUGAAGUCGUAACAAGGUACC
This 249-nucleotide ribosomal RNA is filed under the name uncultured bacterium. Its description in RNAcentral is "partial 16S ribosomal RNA". It matches the Rfam family "Bacterial small subunit ribosomal RNA", at positions 1251 to 1500 of the family's 1533-position model. The record is from RNAcentral.